This 912-nucleotide ribosomal RNA is filed under the name uncultured archaeon. RNAcentral's name for it is "bacterial SSU rRNA". It matches the Rfam family "Archaeal small subunit ribosomal RNA", at positions 1 to 922 of the family's 1478-position model. The record is from RNAcentral.
ACCUGGUCGAUUCUGCCGGACCCGACUGCUAUCAGAGUGGGACUAAGCCAUGCGAGUCAACAUAGCAAUAUGUGGCAUACGGCUCAGUAACACGUAGUCAACAUGCCCAGGGGACGUGGAUAACCUCGGGAAACUGAGGAUAAACCGCGAUAAGUCACUACUUCUGGAAUGGGUAAUGACUCAAAUCUAUAUGGCCCCUGGAUUGGACUGCGGCCGAUCAGGCUGUUGGUGAGGUAAUGGCCCACCAAACCUGUAACCGGUACGGGCUCUGAGAGGAGGAGCCCGGAGAUGGGCACUGAGACAAGGGCCCAGGCCCUAUGGGGCGCAGCAGGCGCGAAACCUCUGCAAUAGGCGAAAGCUUGACAGGGUUACUCUGAGUGAUUUCCGUUAAGGAAAUCUUUUGGCACCUCUAAAAAUGGUGCAGAAUAAGGGGUGGGCAAGUCUGGUGUCAGCCGCCGCGGUAAUACCAGCACCCCGAGUGGUCGGGACGUUUAUUGGGCCUAAAGCAUCCGUAGCCGGUUCUACAAGUCUUCCGUUAAAUCCAACUGCUUAACAGGUGGGCUGCGGAAGAUACUAUAGAGCUAGGAGGCGGGAGAGGCAAGCGGUACUCGAUGGGUAGGGGUAAAAUCCGUUGAUCCAUUGAAGACCACCAGUGGCGAAGGCGGCUUGCCAGAACGCGCUCGACGGUGAGGGAUGAAAGCUGGGGGAGCAAACCGGAUUAGAUACCCGGGUAGUCCCGGCUGUAAACGAUGCAGACUCGGUGAUGAGUUGGCUAUAUGCCAACUCAGUGCCGCAGGGAAGCCGUUAAGUUUGCCGCCUGGGGAGUACGGUCGCAAGACUGAAACUUAAAGGAAUUGGCGGGGGAGCACCACAAGGGGUGAAGCCUGCGGUUCAAUUGGAGUCAACGCCGGA